AGCGAACGCUGGCGGCAGGCCUAAAACAUGCAAGUCGAACGCCCGUAGCAAUACGGGAGUGGCAGACGGGUGAGUAACACGUGGGAACGUACCCUUUGGUUCGGAACAACACAGGGAAACUUGUGCUAAUACCGGAUAAGCCCUUACGGGGAAAGAUUUAUCGCCAGAGGAUCGGCCCGCGUCUGAUUAGCUUGUUGGUGAGGUAACGGCUCACCAAGGCUACGAUCAGUAGCUGGCUGAGAGGAUGAUCAGCCACACUGGGACUGAGACACGGCCCAGACUCCUACGGGAGGCAGCAGUUAGGAAUCUUGGACAAUGGGCGCAAGCCUGAUCCAGCCAUGCCGCGUGAGUGAUGAAGGCCUUAGGGUUGUAAAGCUCUUUCAGCGGGGAAGAUAAUGACGGUACCCGCAGAAGAA
Molecule: ribosomal RNA, 416 nt
Filed under: uncultured bacterium
Lineage: Bacteria
Description: bacterial SSU rRNA
Rfam family: Bacterial small subunit ribosomal RNA
Source: RNAcentral